Molecule: ribosomal RNA, 277 nt
Filed under: Pseudo-nitzschia caciantha
Lineage: Eukaryota; Bacillariophyta; Bacillariophyceae; Bacillariales; Bacillariaceae
Description: partial 28S ribosomal RNA
Rfam family: Eukaryotic large subunit ribosomal RNA
Source: RNAcentral
UAAUUAAGCGGAGGAAAAGAAACUAACUAGGAUUCCCCCAGUAACGGCGAGUGAAGCGGGAUUAGCUCAGGAUGUAAAUCUGCACUAUUAUCGGUGCCGAAUUGUGGUCUGAAGACCUUGACGUUAUCUGCCGGGCCAAGUUCCUUGGAAAAGGACAGCUGAGAGGGUGAGACUCCCGUCCGUCUGGUAGAAUGAGUCAUGUGUCAACGAGUCGAGUUGUUUGGGAUUGCAGCUCUAAUUUGGUGGUAAAUUCCAUCUAAAGCUAAAUAUUGGUGGG